This is a long non-coding RNA of Oncorhynchus keta (chum salmon), 1355 nucleotides long. RefSeq lists it as uncharacterized. The transcript has 4 exons. The record is from RefSeq and is a predicted model, not a curated record. Lineage: Eukaryota; Metazoa; Chordata; Actinopteri; Salmoniformes; Salmonidae.
CAAACAUGUCAAUCACUCAUGGCACGCAAUGAAUACAUAUUGGAGAGUUGUUGUCUGUAUCUACGGCAGCGAAUGAGAGGGGUGAACACCAUGACCACACGAGGGCAGUGAUGUCCAUUAUUUUCCAGACUGACCGUUACAAUAACUGCAUUUUGUUCGGGGGCAAAACACGUUAACAGGUUUAACAAAAGCAUGUGGACAGUAGUUGGCAUGUUGGCCUCUGUGUGCCCCACUGGGACCGGCGGCUGCUGAUCCACAGAGGAAUACACAAGCCCCUCUAGGAACAUGCUCGAUUCACCUAUCCUCUCCUUUCACCAGGAUGCACGCACACAGACCCUUCUGUCCUCAUCCAUUUUGGAUAGUGUGUCUGGGAGGUGCAUAGGAGUGUCUGGGAGGUGCAUAGGAGUGUCUGGGAGGUGCAUAGGAGUGUCUGGGAGGUGCAUAGGAGUGUCUGGGGGGUGCAUAGGAGUGUCUGGGAGGUGCAUAGGAGUGUCUGGGAGGUGCAUAGGAGUGUCGUUGCAACCUCAUCUGACUACAGAAAAAUCACUCAAGCUUUGUCAUUCAAGUUAAUAAUAAUAAUAAUAAGCCAUUUAGCAGACGCUUUUAUCCAAAGCGACUUACAGUCAUGUGUGCAUACAUUCUACGUAUGGGUGAUCCCGGGAAUCAAACCCACUACCCUGGCGUUACAAGCACCAUGCUCUACCAACUGAGCUACAUAAGUUUAGUGAUAAAAAUUACUUUUGUGGUACUAUAGUUUUUUUAUUUUAUUUUAUUUCACCUUUAUUUAACCAGGUAGGCUAGUUGAGAACAAGUUCUCAUUUGCAACUGCGACCUGGCCAAGAUAAAGCAUAGCAGUGUGAACAGACAACACAGUUACACAUGGAGUAAACAAUUAGCAAGUCAAUAACACAGUAGAAAAAAAAUGGGCAGUCUUUUUGGGUAAACUGUCAUUAGAAUGAAGUUAUAUUGUUUUGGCUGGGAUUCAACUCGCUCAGUAUUCAAAACAGGUACUAUAGGUUGUGUUUGGGACGGCUCUCUAUUUUUCUCUGUACCAAUAGGGCAGGAAAUGUCUACUUUGCGAGGAUUUCAAAGUCCUACUUGAGUUGUUAGUUAGUGCUUAUUGUAUGCAAACCUUUGGAGUAUGUGCAUAAAUCCUAAUGUGUGGCCGAUCUGAUAAGACCAGGUAUAUGUAACUGAGAUUAGGUCAUAUCAUAAAACGUGUGUUUUUGUCCAGCCAAAUACAAAUAUGAGAAACAUUUGGAUGAUGCAUCUAAUUCCACAUCUAUCUCAGUAGUUUCAUUGCAUAUUGUCCAGAACAAUCCUGAUUGUAAAGAAGAUGAGACAAUAAAUGAUGA